UGCCCCUUAGCUCAGGCGGUAGAGCGCGUGCCUGAAAAACACGGCGGCCGUGGUUCGAUUCCACGAGGGGCAA
This 73-nucleotide transfer RNA is filed under the name Candidatus Palauibacterales bacterium. Its description in RNAcentral is "tRNA-Phe". It matches the Rfam family "tRNA". Rfam says of the family: Transfer RNA (tRNA) molecules are approximately 80 nucleotides in length. Their secondary structure includes four short double-helical elements and three loops (D, anti-codon, and T loops). Further hydrogen bonds mediate the characteristic L-shaped molecular structure. tRNAs have two regions of fundamental functional importance: the anti-codon, which is responsible for specific mRNA codon recognition, and the 3' end, to which the tRNAs corresponding amino acid is attached (by aminoacyl-tRNA synthetases). tRNAs cope with the degeneracy of the genetic code in two manners: having more than one tRNA (with a specific anti-codon) for a particular amino acid; and 'wobble' base-pairing, i.e. permitting non-standard base-pairing at the 3rd anti-codon position. Lineage: Bacteria; Pseudomonadati; Gemmatimonadota; Gemmatimonadia; Candidatus Palauibacterales. The record is from RNAcentral.